AGAGUUUGAUCCUGGCUCAGAACGAACGCUGGCGGCAUGCCUAACACAUGCAAGUCGAACGUGAAGCCGCCCUUCGGGGCGGUGGAAAGUGGCGCACGGGUGAGUAACGCGUGGGAACCUGCCCCUUGGUAUGGGAUAACCGUGGGAAACUGCGGCUAAUACCGUAUACGCCCUGAGGGGGAAAGAUUUAUCGCCGAGGGAGGGGCCCGCGUCGGAUUAGGUAGUUGGUGGGGUAACGGCCUACCAAGCCGACGAUCCGUAGCUGGUCUUAGAGGACGGUCAGCCGCACUGGGACUGAGACACGGCCCAGACUCCUACGGGAGGCAGCAGUGGGGAAUAUUGGACAAUGGGGGAAACCCUGAUCCAGCAAUGCCGCGUGGGUGACGAAGGCCUUAGGGUUGUAAAGCCCUUUCGGCGGGGAAGAUGAUGACGGUACCCGCAGAAGAAGCCCCGGCUAACUCCGUGCCAGCAGCCGCGGUAAUACGGAGGGGGCUAGCGUUGUUCGGAAUUACUGGGCGUAAAGGGCGUGUAGGCGGCCCGUCAAGUCAGGCGUGAAAGCCCUGGGCUUAACCUAGGAGGUGCGCUUGAAACUGAUGGGCUUGAGGCCGGGAGAGGAGAGUGGAAUUCCCAGUGUAGAGGUGAAAUUCGU
This 649-nucleotide ribosomal RNA is filed under the name uncultured bacterium. Its description in RNAcentral is "bacterial SSU rRNA". It matches the Rfam family "Bacterial small subunit ribosomal RNA", at positions 8 to 691 of the family's 1533-position model. The record is from RNAcentral.